Molecule: ribosomal RNA, 253 nt
Filed under: uncultured bacterium
Lineage: Bacteria
Description: partial 16S ribosomal RNA
Rfam family: Bacterial small subunit ribosomal RNA
Source: RNAcentral
UACAGAGGUCUCGAGCGUUGUUCGGUUUCAUUGGGCGUAAAGGGUGCGUAGGUGGCGCUGUAAGUCGGGUGUGAAAUCCUGAGGCUUAACCUCGGAACUGCAUUCGAUACUGCGGCGCUUGAGGACUGGAGAGGAGACUGGAAUUCAUGGUGUAGCAGUGAAAUGCGUAGAGAUCAUGAGGAAGACCAGUGGCGAAGGCGGGUCUCUGGACAGUUCCUGACACUGAGGCACGAAGGCCAGGGGAGCAAACGGG